Molecule: ribosomal RNA, 205 nt
Filed under: uncultured bacterium
Lineage: Bacteria
Description: partial 16S ribosomal RNA
Rfam family: Bacterial small subunit ribosomal RNA
Source: RNAcentral
UCAGUUCGGAUUGGAGUCUGCAACUCGACUCCAUGAAGCUGGAUUCGCUAGUAAUCGCGCAUCAGCCAUGGCGCGGUGAAUACGUUCCCGGGCCUUGUACACACCGCCCGUCAAGCCAUGGGAGCCGGGGGUGCCUGAAGUACGUGACCGCGAGGAGCGUCCUAGGGCAAAACUGGUGACUGGGGCUAAGUCGUAACAAGGUAUC